RNAcentral lists this ribosomal RNA (369 nucleotides) under Triticum aestivum (bread wheat). RNAcentral's name for it is "partial small subunit ribosomal RNA". Lineage: Eukaryota; Viridiplantae; Streptophyta; Magnoliopsida; Poales; Poaceae. The record is from RNAcentral.
AUGGCGACCGCCUUCGACUCGCCGACCUCGUCCCCGGCUGCCGCACCCUUCCAUGACGACCCCUUCCUCUUCGCCGACAGCGGGGCCCCGACGUCCGACGUCCAUGUCUCUGGGGGUGGCGACGACUUCCCGGCCUCCCCCGACCCCUACGCCUUCCGCCACGACUCUGUUGUCGUGCACCCCUUCGGCAUGCCCGACUCCAACGGCAACGGCAUGCACCACGACGCGGACGACCACGACCUCUUCACCGACUCCGACCCUGUCCUCCCCAACCCCGCCCAGGUGGGGGCCGAUGAGGGCUUCCUCCUCUGCAAGUGGCGCCGGUACGUGCGUGCGCUACCUCUCCUUGCUCCUCUCACCCAGAUCUGA